CUCGAUUUUGGCCAAAAAUUGGAUUUCGUUUAAAUUACAUCUUAUCGACCCCAAAUUUCACGGAGAUCACGAAAAUUGUGUUUAUUUCGACGGUAGCUCAAUGGAUAAGGCGCUAUCGCUUACUUCCGGUACACUUCCGGAAAAUUUGCACAAAACUAGCAUGUGAGCUUUGUUCCCUGUAAUGCUCUCAAGACUUCAAGCUAGAUUUAAUCAAAUUAAAGUACGCUGUUCUAGCUCAAGUUGUGUCACAAAACUAACUACGUUUUUGGGACUUUUCCGAGUUUCAUAGGUGCCCAAUAGAUGGCAAGAGUCCUCGUUUUUCAUGUAAUGGCGGAUUGUUGUGUUGUUAAAAGUUCCUAUUUUUCCACGAAAUUACUGAUUAAUUCAUAAGUAAAUUCAAGUUUAUUUCUGUGUAACUUGUUUGAUUUAUCAUCCUGUGUGUGUGUUUGAUGCUUUGAUCACAUUUGAAAUGAAACAAGAGGAAGGAACGCGAAAGGAAGCAUCACCCUUCAAGUAGCGAUCAACAACCCUUUCAUAAUCGACUUUCUGCUGAUUGCAUGAUUUGCAUCAUCCAGUUAAUACAGAUCACUAACUCCAGUGUGACUUGUAUUGUUUUUUUCCGAGCAUGUUUUUCUACAAAUGUUGCAUUGACAGACAAAGAAGGCUAUGGGAAACAUGAGCAAGCCCAUGGGUAAUCUUCAGGUUUAUUGCAGCAACUUCGGAGAAGUCACAGGAAAAGAUUCAGGGCACAUACCAACAUGUGUUGCAUUGUUCUGAUUGAUUUACUCAAGUAGCAGAUUUAACAACAUGAUUAACAUGCCAAAGUUAGUUGGAAUUCUAAAGACACUGAUAACUACUGCUGCUGCCGCCUUACAGCCAAAGAUAGAAAAAUUACUCUCCUUCUUCCUCCUUCUUCAGACAA
This is a long non-coding RNA of Daphnia pulicaria, 922 nucleotides long. RefSeq lists it as uncharacterized. The transcript is spliced from 4 exons. The record is from RefSeq and is a predicted model, not a curated record. NCBI's taxonomy places the organism in Eukaryota, Metazoa, Arthropoda, Branchiopoda, Diplostraca, Daphniidae.